Long non-coding RNA from Thalassophryne amazonica, 154 nucleotides. RefSeq lists it as uncharacterized. The record is from RefSeq and is a predicted model, not a curated record. The transcript is spliced from 4 exons. Lineage: Eukaryota; Metazoa; Chordata; Actinopteri; Batrachoidiformes; Batrachoididae.
AGAAUCUUGGAUGCGUUAGUGUUGUAGCACAUCUCCUCCUCUCUAGGGUCAUCUCAACCUGCUCCCUACUCCCACUAGAGAUCACAAUGUCAUCUCGAAACAUCAUAGUCCAUAGAGACUCCUGUCUGAUCUCACCUGUCAAUCUGUCCAUCAG